AGAGUUUGAUCCUGGCUCAGGACAAACGCUGGCGGCGUGCGUAACACAUGCAAGUCGGACGAGGGGGCGGUUCUUUUCGGAGAGCGGUCUUUCGAGUGGCGGACGGGUGAGUAACACGUGGAUAACCUACCCUGGUGUGGGGGAUACCCUGUAGAAAUACGGGCUAAUACCGCAUGCGGUAGAUCGGGGUUCGCCCGGAUCUAAGAAAGCCUUCGGGCGCAGCAGGAGGGGUCCGCGGCCGAUUAGCUAGUUGGGGGGGUAAAGGCUUCCCAAGGCGACGAUCGGUAGCUGGUCUGAGAGGAUGAUCAGCCACACUGGGAUUGAGAACGGCCCAGACUCCUACGGGGGGCAGCAGUGAGGAAUCUUCGUCAAUGGGCGCAAGCCUGAACGAGCAACGCCGCGUGUGGGAAGACGGCCCUCGGGUUGUAAACCACUUUUCUCUGGAACGAGUUUUGGACGGUACCAGAGGAAGAAGUCUCGGCUAACUACGUGCCAGCAGCCGCGGUAAUACGUAGGAGACGAGCGUUGUCCGGAGUUACUGGGCGUAAAGGGUGCGCAGGCGGUUCGUUUUGUGGGUGGUGAAAUCUCCUGGCUCAACUGGGAGGGGGCCAUCCAAACGGGCGAACUUGAGGCGUGGAGAGGGACGUGGAAUUCCGGGUGGAGCAGUGAAAUGCG
This 675-nucleotide ribosomal RNA is filed under the name uncultured soil bacterium. RNAcentral describes it as "bacterial SSU rRNA". It matches the Rfam family "Bacterial small subunit ribosomal RNA", at positions 8 to 690 of the family's 1533-position model. The record is from RNAcentral.